RNAcentral lists this ribosomal RNA (301 nucleotides) under uncultured bacterium. RNAcentral describes it as "partial 16S ribosomal RNA". It matches the Rfam family "Bacterial small subunit ribosomal RNA", at positions 509 to 809 of the family's 1533-position model. The record is from RNAcentral.
CAGUAGCCACGGGAAUACGGAGGGUGCAAGCGUUACUCGGAAUCACUGGGCGUAAAGGACGCGUAGGCGGAUAUUUAAGUCAGGGGUGAAAUCCCAGAGCUCAACUCUGGAACUGCCUUUGAUACUGGGUAUCUUGAGUAUGGAAGAGGUGGGUGGAAUUCCGAGUGUAGAGGUGAAAUUCGUAGAUAUUCGGAGGAACACCAGUGGCGAAGGCGGCUCACUGGUCCAUUACUGACGCUGAGGUGCGAAAGCGUGGGGAGCAAACAGGAUUAGAUACCCCGGUAGUCCCUGUCUCUUAUAA